GGAGAGAGUGUGCGUGUAAUAGAAAUAAGGCACUCUUUUCUUGUCGUGGGGGUGUUCCUGAAUGCCACCUUCUUUCUUCCCUUCACCCCAGUCCCUAAAAUCUGAUGGUGAUUAGAUCUAAGAGAGAAAAAGAAAGAGAGGAAGAGAAAAUUUUUUUCUUUCCUUCUUGGUGAUUUGGUUCAGAUCCCAUCGGAUCUACACGAAGGAGUUCACGCAGCAUUCUCUUCUUCGAGAUGUAGAAGAAGAGAUUCAAAUCUAAGACUGAGAAGCGAGAUCUGCAAGGUGCUAGUAUAUCGAUGAUCUUGAUGCUCUGAUCAGACAUCUCCGUAUGGAUACCAGUAG
RNAcentral lists this long non-coding RNA (342 nucleotides) under Elaeis guineensis (African oil palm). RNAcentral's name for it is "long non-coding RNA (EGUI_LNC012716)". The record is from RNAcentral. Lineage: Eukaryota; Viridiplantae; Streptophyta; Magnoliopsida; Arecales; Arecaceae.